UUCUCAGUGGCGUCAAGGGACUCCACUCUGUCUAGGGAGGAGUGAACUAUGCACCAAGGCCUCUCAAGCCUAAGGUGGCAGCAUCAAGUUUGGAGAGCCGAAAGAUCAUGAGGAGGCCUCCCAGGUGUCAGAGACCGGAGUGAGAAUCGAGAAUGUCCCAUUUCCUUGGCAUAAGGCCCUACAGAUGCAGCAUGGAAACCUUUUGUACCUGGGGAAGGGACCCUGGGGACAGGGUAGUGAUCUGCACGGCUUGUUACCUGGAACCAUUUCCUUUAAUUUGGCAAGUAAGCCAUGCCUACCAUCUCUCCUAGCUUUCCUCAAGCAAAAUAAACCUUAACCUUAGUCUGAAAAGAGAACCCCAUUCGUAUUCCAAGGUGAACCCUGGUCCUGAGUGCUUCUCACCCAUCCACCUCAGAAGCAAGUUCAGAGAGCAGCUACAUCCACAACCCUCGCUUGAGAGACUGCUCCCCCACUCCUCCCAUGGAAGAAUACUAGUUCUGAUAGUCUGUGUGGCCUUGGGCAAGCCACUUAAUUCCUCUUCACCUGACCUCCCAGUAAUCAAGAGAGGAUAAAAUAAUUCUACACGCAACUCACAGAAUUGAUGUUUGGACAGAAUUAAUUAGUUGGUGUCAAAGGUUUAAAAAAAUCAAAAGGACUACCUGAAAAUGUAAGCUGUUUUUUAUUCAACAGACAUAUUUUUUUUAAACAACAGAGACCCCCCCCCCCAUUGAGUAAACUGUCAAUAGUGUAAAAGCCUAAUACUUACCGGCACAUAUGCCAAGCCCAGAAAACUGAGCACUGUUAUGAACCCUGCCACACAUGUAAGGUGAACCAAGGCUUGGAGUUGUUACAG
Long non-coding RNA from Apodemus sylvaticus (European woodmouse), 853 nucleotides. RefSeq lists it as uncharacterized. Lineage: Eukaryota; Metazoa; Chordata; Mammalia; Rodentia; Muridae. The record is from RefSeq and is a predicted model, not a curated record. The transcript has 4 exons.